Molecule: non-coding RNA, 152 nt
Organism: Gossypium hirsutum (cotton)
Lineage: Eukaryota; Viridiplantae; Streptophyta; Magnoliopsida; Malvales; Malvaceae
Source: Rfam
UGUUAAAAAUAUCAUCCAUUUCUACUGUUGAAGACUAAUGUAGCUAAUAGAAUAGUCAAAUAGUUACACGUGGCGUAUCAGUAUACCUUAUGUUGAAGUAUAGGAACUAGUUUACCUAUUUUUAACUAUAAAAAUGAAUGAAAUUUUUAAGA